Drosophila melanogaster (fruit fly) is the source of this 980-nucleotide non-coding RNA. NCBI's taxonomy places the organism in Eukaryota, Metazoa, Arthropoda, Insecta, Diptera, Drosophilidae. The record is from Ensembl.
UGACACAAGACACAAUAAAUAAAACUAGGGUGCGCUAAAAGCAGAACGAAGGAAACUAGAACGACUACAACUUAUGCUACGCAGAGGGUAAAAUUCGGGAAUUCAGUAGGUCAGCCAGUGUUCAUUCCAGCUCCUGCUGAACCUAAACAUUUAGCACGGAAUGCUUCUUAUUGCCGCCGGAGGGCAGUUGCACGGCGAUCACCGCCAAGCGUCCAUCUCGAAGCGGCGCCAGAAUGUGGGUGUUGCCCGGAGUGACCACCACCGUCUGGAUGGGCACGUGCAGGGGAAUGUCGAAAACGGGCUUCAAGCUGGAAAAGAAGAAGUCUGCUCAUGGUGAUAUCGCCGGCAUCGUCGGCCACCACCAGGUAGUCGGAGGCACUAGCCAAUCCCGUCACCCUGCCAGAAACGUAUUUGGAGCCCAGACUGCAGCCGUUGAUGCUGUACACGUGCACCGAGUGCGAGGUGUCAUCCAGAGCACUGAAUGCAAUGUGACCUGUGUGUAAAGGAUACAGAAAAGAAGAGCAAUCAGAAUUGUGGUUCAAUCAUGUGAAGCAUUCUUUGAUCAUAUCAGCUCAGAUGACAGAAUGUGGGGCAGGGCGUAGUGGCGUUAAUCUACGCAGUGGAAAUGCCAUUAUGCUAUUAGACGAGGUCCGGCCCACUCUGGUCUGCUGAUAACCUGACAUCGCAUAAAAACAUUAUCACAUGGCGACAUACUACAUACUACAAGUCCGAGCAAUGCGUAGUUGCUCUUAUCUACACAAGUAUCCGUGUUAUGUGGCGGCACUUGUAUCUCUGCAUCUGUAAAUGUAUCUGUAUGCCAAUGCCACCCAGCGAAACGCGUUCAGAAGGAAGAGCCACUAAAUAGCCUAGAUUGGAUCUGAAUGAACUUCCUAAAGUGACCCGGCCACGCGCACAGAAAUAACUAGUAUAAACCGUGCCCAGUUGGUUUUGGCCAAUCUUGUACGAGUAGUUCAUUCAAC